AACGAACGCUGGCGGCAUGCCUAACACAUGCAAGUCAAACGAGAUCUUCGGGUCUAGUGGCGCACGGGUGCGUAACGCGUGGGAAUCUGCCCUUUGGUUCGGAAUAACAGUUGGAAACGACUGCUAAUACCGGAUGAUGACGAAAGUCCAAAGAUUUAUCGCCAGAGGAUGAGCCCGCGGAGGAUAAGCUAGUUGGUUGGGUAAAGGCGCGCCAAGGCGACGAUCCUUAGUUGGUCUGAGAGGAUGAUCAGCCACACUGGGACUGAGACACGGCCCAGACUCGUACGGGAGGCAGCAGUGGGGAAUAUUGGACAGUGGGCGAAAGCCUGAUCCAGCAAUGCCGCGGGAGUGAUGAAGGCCUUAGGGUUGUAAAGCUCUUUUACCCGGGAUGAUAAUGACAGUACCGGGAGAAUAAGCUCCGGCUAACUCCGUGCCAGCAGCCGCCGUAA
This 449-nucleotide ribosomal RNA is filed under the name uncultured bacterium. Its description in RNAcentral is "partial 16S ribosomal RNA". It matches the Rfam family "Bacterial small subunit ribosomal RNA", at positions 29 to 523 of the family's 1533-position model. The record is from RNAcentral.